UAUCCGUAGGUGAACCUGCGGAAGGAUCAUUACAGAGUUCAUGCCCUCACGGGUAGAUCUCCCACCCACUGUUGUCGUUACUGUGUUGCUUUGGCGGGCCGCCGGGCCCCGCUCGGCCGCCGGCUCCGGCUGGCGCGCGCCCGCCAGAGGCCCAGCAAAUUCUGAAUGUUAGUGUCGUCUGAGUACUAUAUAAUAGUUAAAACUUUCAACAACGGAUCUCUUGGUUCUG
This 229-nucleotide unclassified non-coding RNA is filed under the name plant metagenome. RNAcentral's name for it is "partial contains small subunit ribosomal RNA, internal transcribed spacer 1, and 5.8S ribosomal RNA". The record is from RNAcentral.